AGAGAGAGAGAGAGAGAAAAUGAUAGUGACAGGGACAACCAGAGAGAGAGAGAGAGAGAGAAAAUGAUAGCGACAGGGACAACCAGAGAGAGAGAAAAUUAUAGCGACAGGGACAACCAGAGAGAGAGAAAAUGAUAGCGACAGGGACAACCAGAGAGAGAGAAAAUGAUAGCGACAGGGACAACCAGAGAGAGAGAAAAUGAUAGCGACAGGGACUGUGAAAAGGAUAGCGACAGGCACAACCAGAGAGAUAGAAAGAGAAAAUGAUAGCAACAGGGACAACCAGAGAGAGAGAGAGAGAAAAAUAUAGCGACAGGGACAACCAGGUAGAGAGAGAAAAGGAUAGCGACAGGGACAACCAGAGAGAGAGAGAGAGAGAAAAGAAUAGCGGCAGGGACAACCAGAGAGAGAGAGAGAGAAAAGGAUAGCGACAGGGACAACCAGAGAGAGAGAGAGAGAGAAAAUGAUAGUGAUAGGGACAACCAGAGAGAGAGAGAGAGAGAGAGAGAAAAUGAUAGCGACAGGGACAACCAGAGAGAGAGAAAAUGAUAGCGACAGGGACAACCAGAGAGAGAGAAAAUGAUAGCGACAGGGACAACCAGAGAGAGAGAAAAUGAUAGCGACAGGGACAACCAGAGAGAGAGAAAAUGAUAGCGACAGGGACUGUGAAAAGGAUAGCGACAGGCACAACCAGAGAGAUAGAAAGAGAAAAUGAUAGCAACAGGGACAACCAGAGAGAGAGAGAGAGAGAAAAGUAUAGCGACAGGGACAACCAGGGAGAGAGAGAGAGAAAAUGAUAGCGACAGGGACAACCAGAGAGAGAGAAAGAGAAAAUGAUAGCGACAGGGACAACCAGAGAGAGAGAGAGAGAGAGAGAGAAAAGGAUAGCGACAGGGACAACCAGAGAGAGAGAGAGAGAGAAAAUGAUAGCGACAGGGACAACCAGAGAGAGAGAGAAAAUGAUAGCGACAGGGACAACCAGAGAGAGAGAGAAAAUGAUAGCGACAGGGACAACCAGAGAGAGAGAGAGAAAAUGAUAGCGACAAGGACAACCAGAGAGAGAGAGAAAAUGAUAGCGACAGGGACAACCAGAGAGAGAGAGACUAUGAUAGCGACAGGGACUGUGAAAAGGAUAGCGACAGGCACAACCAGAGAGAUAGAAAGAGAAAAUGAUAGCAACAGGGACAACCAGAGAGAGAGAGAGAGAGAGAGAGAGAGAAAAGGAUAGCGACAGGGACAACCAGAGAGAGAGAGAGAAAAUGAUAGCGACAGGGACAACCAGAGAGAGAGAAAGAGAAAAUGAUAGCGACAGGGACAACCAGAGAGAGAGAAAGAGAAAAUGAUAGCAACAGGGACAACCAGAGAGAGAGAGAGAGAGAGAAAAAAGGAUAGCGACAGGGACAACCAGAGAGAGAGAGAGAGA
This is a long non-coding RNA of Oncorhynchus tshawytscha (Chinook salmon), 1423 nucleotides long. NCBI's taxonomy places the organism in Eukaryota, Metazoa, Chordata, Actinopteri, Salmoniformes, Salmonidae. The record is from Ensembl.